UACACACCGCCGUCGCUACUACCGAUUGAAUUAUUUAGUGAGGUCUCCGGACGUGAUCACUGUGCGCCUUGCGUGUUACGGUUGUUUCGCAAAAGUUGACCGAACUUGAUUAUUUAGAGGAAGUAAAAGUCGUAACAAGGUUCCGUAGGUGAACCUGCGGAAGGAUCACUAUUGUAUAAUAUCCUUACCGUUAAUAAACAUUUGUAAUAAUACAAAUAAAA
This 221-nucleotide ribosomal RNA is filed under the name Drosophila melanogaster (fruit fly). RNAcentral describes it as "3'end of 18S rRNA". The stretch from base 1 to 171 matches the Rfam family "Eukaryotic small subunit ribosomal RNA", at positions 1663 to 1831 of the family's 1831-position model. Lineage: Eukaryota; Metazoa; Arthropoda; Insecta; Diptera; Drosophilidae. The record is from RNAcentral.